Molecule: ribosomal RNA, 253 nt
Filed under: uncultured bacterium
Lineage: Bacteria
Description: partial 16S ribosomal RNA
Rfam family: Bacterial small subunit ribosomal RNA
Source: RNAcentral
UACGGGGGGGGCAAGCGUUGUUCGGAAUUACUGGGCGUAAAGGGCGCGUAGGCGGCCCUGCAAGUCUUUCGUGAAAUCCCACAGCUCAACUGUGGAACUGCGGAAGAUACUGCAGGGCUUGAGUCCGGGAGAGGGGAGUGGAAUUCCCAGUGUAGCGGUGAAAUGCGUAGAUAUUGGGAGGAACACCGGUGGCGAAGGCGGCUCCCUGGACCGGAACUGACGCUGAGGCGCGAAAGCUAGGGGAGCAAACGGG